RNAcentral lists this ribosomal RNA (497 nucleotides) under uncultured bacterium. RNAcentral's name for it is "partial 16S ribosomal RNA". It matches the Rfam family "Bacterial small subunit ribosomal RNA", at positions 28 to 507 of the family's 1533-position model. The record is from RNAcentral.
GAUGAACGCUGGCGGCGUGCCUAAUACAUGCAAGUCGAGCGAACAGACGAUGAGCUUGCUCCUCUGACGUUAGCGGCGGACGGGUGAGUAACACGUGGAUAACCUACCUAUAAUACUGGGAUAACUUCGGGAAACCGGAGCUAAUACCGGAUAAUAUAUUGAACCGCAUGGUUCAAUAGUGAAAGACGGUUUUGCUGUCACUUAUAGAUGGAUCCGCGCCGCAUUAGCUAGUUGGUAAGGUAACGGCUUACCAAGGCAACGAUGCGUAGCCGACCUGAGAGGGUGAUCAGCCACACUGGAACUGAGACACGGUCCAGACUCCUACGGGAGGCAGCAGUAGGGAAUCUUCCACAAUGGGCGAAAGCCUGACGGAGCCACGCCGCGUGAGUGAUGAAGGUCUUCGGAUCGUAAAACUCUGUUAUUAGGGAAGAACAAAUGUGUAAGUAACUAUGCACGUCUUGACGGUACCUAAUCAGAAAGCCACGGCUAACUACGUG